GGGCCCCUCGCCCAGCUAGGAUAGGGCGCCAGCCUGCGGAGCUGGUGGUCGCGGGUUCAAAUCCCGCGGGGCCCG
RNAcentral lists this transfer RNA (75 nucleotides) under Candidatus Jordarchaeales archaeon. Its description in RNAcentral is "tRNA-Arg". It matches the Rfam family "tRNA". From Rfam's summary of the family: Transfer RNA (tRNA) molecules are approximately 80 nucleotides in length. Their secondary structure includes four short double-helical elements and three loops (D, anti-codon, and T loops). Lineage: Archaea; Promethearchaeati; Candidatus Jordarchaeia; Candidatus Jordarchaeales. RNAcentral also lists the same sequence under 1 other name. The record is from RNAcentral.